RNAcentral lists this unclassified non-coding RNA (336 nucleotides) under soil metagenome. RNAcentral describes it as "partial contains 5.8S ribosomal RNA, internal transcribed spacer 2, and large subunit ribosomal RNA". The stretch from base 1 to 120 matches the Rfam family "5.8S ribosomal RNA", at positions 35 to 154 of the family's 154-position model. The record is from RNAcentral.
GAUGAAGAACGCAGCGAAAUGUGAUAAGUAAUGUGAAUUGCAGAAUUCAGUGAAUCAUCGAAUCUUUGAACGCACAUUGCGCCCGCCAGUAUUCUGGCGGGCAUGCCUGUUCGAGCGUCAUUUCAACCAUCAAGCCCCCGGCUUGUGUUGGGGACCUGCGGCUGCCGCAGGCCCUGAAAAGCAGUGGCGGGCUCGCUGUCACACCGAGCGUAGUAGCAUACAUCUCGCUCUGGGCGUGCUGCGGGUUCCGGCCGUUAAACCACCUUCAUAACCCAAGGUUGACCUCGGAUCAGGUAGGAAGACCCGCUGAACUUAAGCAUAUCAAUAAGCGGAGGA